Populus euphratica (Euphrates poplar) is the source of this 2949-nucleotide RNA transcript. It is a transcript of the gene named pentatricopeptide repeat-containing protein At1g80150, mitochondrial-like, with no coding region annotated. Lineage: Eukaryota; Viridiplantae; Streptophyta; Magnoliopsida; Malpighiales; Salicaceae. The record is from RefSeq and is a predicted model, not a curated record. The transcript has 3 exons.
UGUGACUCGAAACCUAAAUAAAAUAAUAAUAAAAAAUAAUAACAGCAUGGCAGCCCACAGUAUCUUUCUUUCUGGCUUUACCAUGAUCUUCCGAAAACACUUGACAAAUAACUUAGAAGUCCUAACUCCAAAACCUAAAUCCCAAAACAACAAAAGCCCCCUUCCCUCCCGGAAGAUCCAAUCCUCACCCUCUUUCUAUUCAUAUUUGUUUCCGUAGCCACUACUGUCACUCCGUGUCACACUGAACAAAUAUAUCCAUACCCUGCUCCUUUUUGCUUAAUUCUUGUUCUUUAUUAUCUCAAGAUUGCUUUUUUUGAGUUUUCAUCUUGUUGUUUUUUCUAUUUUCCACAUGGGUUUUGAAGAUUUCUUCUACUCAGUGCCUGGAAUCAUUGUUUUAGCAUAUGGGUAUGCUUCUGUUUGAUAAAAUUCCUCUGCGAGUUUUCCAUGUGUAGUGGGUUUCUUGACGUUAUUGCAUUGGAUCUUGAGGAUGGAACAUGGGUAUGUUUCAAUUUGAGGAAGAAACCAAGACAUGCUCUCUCUGCGAAACACUCGCAGAUUCUGCAACUUUGCUGCUUCCGUUGCAUUAACUCGGAGUCCUGCAGCUGUAUCUAACCGCAUUCAGAAUCAAAACCAGAAACCUUUGGAGGAACCUGCACUUGUUAGGCUUAAAGCUGAGAGAGACCCUGAAAAGCUAUUUAAUCUUUUCAAGGCCAAUGCUGAGAAUAGGCUUGUUGUGGAGAAUCGGUUUGCAUUUGAAGAUACCGUUUCUCGCUUGGCUGGUGCUAACAGGUUUGAUUACAUUGAGCAUUUACUUGAGCACCAGAAGCCUCUUCCACAAGGUAGGCGCGAAGGGUUCAUGGUGAGGAUUAUAAUGCUGUAUGGAAAGGCUGGAAUGAUAAAGCAUGCUAUUGAUACUUUCUAUAAUAUGCAUUUGCACGGCUGUAAAAGGACUGUUAAAUCCGUCAAUGCUGCACUGAAGGUUUUGACUGGAACCCGUGAUUUAGCAGCAAUCGAGGCCUUUGUUAAUGAGGCGCCGAAGAAGUUUGAUAUUGAGCUAGACAUAUUUUCUGUUAACAUCAUUGUUAAGGCUUUAUGUGAAACGGGAAAUUUGGAUAAAGCAUAUUUGCUCAUGGUAGAGAUGGAAAAGUCAGGGGUAAGGCCAGAUGUCAUCACAUACACCACACUUAUGUCAGCAUUUUAUAAGAACAACAGGUCAGAGAUUGGCAAUGGAUUGUGGAAUCUUAUGGUGCUUAAGGGAUGUUUACCCAAUCUUGCAACAUUUAAUGUUAGAAUUCAGUAUUUGGUCAACAUAAGACGGGCAUGGCAUGCAAAUGAUGUGAUGCGUUUGAUGCUAAAAAUUGGGAUUAUGCCUGAUGAGGUUACAUAUAAUUUGGUUAUAAAAGGCUUUUUCCAGACUGGUAAACUUGAGAUGGCCAAAAUGGUGUAUUUUUCUUUACGUGGCAAGGGGCAUAAAUUUAAUGUUAAAGUUUACCAAACAAUGGUUCAUUAUUUAUGCAAGGGUGGGGAGUUUGAUUUGGCUUAUACAAUGUGUAGAGAUUGCAUGAGAAAUAACUGGUUUUUGAAUGUGGAUACCAUUCAUAUGCUGCUUGAAGGGCUGAAGAAGAAUGGGCAGCUUAACAAGGCUAAGGUGAUCGUGACUUUAGCUCAGAAGAGAGUGCCUCCUUUUCCUUCAAGUCAUUUGCGUUCCUUGCAAGCUGUGUUGUCUAGAAGUUGAAUUGAGGUUAUGGAAAUGCUCAGAUAAACUUGGUUUUGUAACACCACAGCCUCACAGCAGGGGAUAUUCAUUUCAUUUUGUCCUCUGAUACAUCCACAUAACCAUAUGGAUAUCCUCGCCCUUAAACAUCAAACAAAGGGAACGUUCCCUUUAUUCAAUUAAUUUGUUGUAGCUUUUAAUAAGUUCCUGAUGAAAUGAAAUUUCUAAAUUUCUAACUGGAUGGUGCCAUGAUUCUUGUAAGUUUUCAUUCAAUUUUUUCCCUUAUCUUUGUCUGUUUCAAAUGCAUUACUCUUUUCUUUCUAAUCUACGAGUGUUGGAGCAUGUGGGUUUUGGAUGUUCACCUGUCAAUAAUUGCUGUACUUACUGAAUACUGAUGUCUCAUGCCAUCUUUUUUAAACUUGUUAUUUGCAUCAAUCUUCAUGGACUUGGAGUGUUCUUUUUAAAUCAUCAUGCAACUUCCUCAUUGUAUGUAUUUAUGAGUGUGAACAUGUCUUCUGCUCUGACUUUCAUGUUAGGCAUAUUUACAUCAGGUUUGAUAUGUAAAUUGGCUUAAAGUUUUGAUUUGAUUUGAUUUUCUAAUAUGAUGCCUUUUAUUUGAAAUUUUUGCAGUUUCAAUUGACGAAGAGCUGUUUAGCCAGCCAAAAGAGUGUGUUAUCUCUUUGUUAUCUAUUGCUUAGAUGCCAGCAUUGGACAAAAGUUGCAAAUCAAAAUUGGCACAGCCUGAAAGGGAAGAGAGGUGUGCUGGAGAAAGGAUACUGUUGUGAAGUAAUGGGAUGACGGUUGCAAGGUGGAAUGUUUAAUGGUGCUCUUUGGCAGCAGAAAUUGCUUCUGAAGUGUUUGUUAAUUUAUAGCUUUCUAGUAGAAACUUGAUGUCUCAUUUGACUGAGGCAGUCAGUGUUCGACGGAUUAAUUUUUCAUGGCUAGAUUGUGGUUGCAGAUCUGGAUAAAGUGGGAUAGCUAGCCAGUGUUGUCAAAGGCGAAAAUGCCCAAGGUGUUAGGUGCACGCCGGAAUGAACCAAGAUGAUAUGUUCUAACUUAAAAGAAUACAUGUAUGAUAUUAUAUACAUAAUCAUAUAAAGUUACAUUUUUUUCAGCUUUAAAACAAAAUAAACAAAAUAAGAAAGUUAUUUCUCUGCGAAAAGGCACCAUGUAAGUGUUCGUUGAAAUUCAUUGUCUAAGCAUCUGAGCGUCUUUUGACAACAUUUUAUUAGCAA